GACUGUGCUAAGGUAGCAUAAUCACUUGGCCUUUAAAUGGGGUCUGGAAUGAAGGGAAUCACUAGAAUAAGCUGUCUUAAUUUGAAUUUAUUAAAACUUCCUUACAAGGUGAAAAUUCCUUUACUUAAAAGAAAGACGAGAAGACCCUCAGAUUUAUUUAUGAUUACUAGAAUUUUAUUUACUUCUAGUUAAAUUUUUGCUGGGGCAGCAAAGUAUCAAAGAUUAAUAUAUUUUUAAUGUGUUUAUAUAAAACGAGUUUUAUUAAUAAAAAAUUAAAUACCUAAGGGAUAACAGCAUAAUUAACUUAUUACAUUGUGACCUCGAUGUUGGACUAGGA
This 337-nucleotide ribosomal RNA is filed under the name Naesiotus sp. RR-2010. Its description in RNAcentral is "partial 16S ribosomal RNA". The record is from RNAcentral. Lineage: Eukaryota; Metazoa; Mollusca; Gastropoda; Stylommatophora; Orthalicidae.